CAUUCGAGUGGCGGACGGGUGAGUAACGCGUGGGUAACCUGCCUUACACAGGGGGAUAACACCUGGAAACAGGUGCUAAUACCGCAUAAGCGCACAGGGCCGCAUGGCCCGGUGUGAAAAACUCCGGCGGUACAGGAUGGACCCGCGUCUGAUUAGCUGGUUGGCGGGGUAACGGCCCACCAAGGCGACGAUCAGUAGCCGGCCUGAGAGGGUGAACGGCCACAUUGGGACUGAGACACGGCCCAAACUCCUACGGGAGGCAGCAG
This 266-nucleotide ribosomal RNA is filed under the name uncultured bacterium. RNAcentral describes it as "partial 16S ribosomal RNA". It matches the Rfam family "Bacterial small subunit ribosomal RNA", at positions 88 to 354 of the family's 1533-position model. The record is from RNAcentral.